CAGGUGCUGCGUCAGCAAAUAAAGACUCUUGAAGAGGCACUGGAGGAGGAGGAGAUGUGCCAGCAGCAGAGGAAGAAGGAGGCAGAGGUGCCGGGGACUACACUGCCGGAGCUGGUGGAAGCACAGCUGGACGCUCAUCCUGCUCUUGGUCAGCCUGCAGCUGGCUGUCGG
Non-coding RNA from Phalacrocorax carbo (great cormorant), 171 nucleotides. The record is from RefSeq and is a predicted model, not a curated record. NCBI's taxonomy places the organism in Eukaryota, Metazoa, Chordata, Aves, Suliformes, Phalacrocoracidae.